UGUGAUUGUGACACAUGCCUCUGUGUAGAACCUGAGUUUCAACUGCAGCAGAGAUUGUAACAAACCACUGGGCCCAGCCGCAUAAUGAUGUUACUCUUUUGCCUUGGGCCUGCCCUCAGAAGGCACUGUCACAUAUUCAUGGGCCCAACGCCAAGGUGAUAUGUGUCUCCAGCCUGGACCCUGCCCACAGGGGGCAUUGUGACAUAUCUCUUGGCCCAUCAGAUGUUUGAUUGUUAUCCCCUCCCCUCUUCUACCCUGUGUUUGCCUAUAAAAGACACAGUCAUAUGUUCCUGGGCCCAGCACCUAGGUGUUGUCUUACUGGAAUGUGUCCACAUGGGGAUUGUGAUAUGUCACGUGGCCCAGUACUUAACUUGAUGUGACUCUCCUCUCAUGCCUAGGCCUUGUAGAGAAUCCCCUUCCCCUUUUGUUUUCCUUUUUUUCUUUGCAGAUCCAGGAGAUAAUCAACUAAGAGCCAGGCACCCGUUUAGGUCUAAUAAACAUUUUACAAACUGCUCUCUCUUUUAAUUCACCUAUCUGAGAGAUUCCUCUGUACAAUAAAACUUGGUCUCCACAAUCCUUUACCUUAACCUAAACCUUCCCUUUCAUUGAUCCCAGGUCUUCAGAUUCCACCACUUGUCAACCACAAAAUAUUUAAAUUUACCUGGAAGCCGCCCGCUUUGAGUUGUCCCGCCUUUCUGAACCAAACCAAUAUAUUCCUGCAAAACCGGCCAUGAUUAAAACAUCAAAAAAUAAUACAUGUUGGCGUGGCUGUGGUGAAAAAAGAAUACUUUUUCACUGCUGGUGGGUAUGUAAACUAGUACAACCACUAUGAAAAACAGUAUGGAGAUUCAUUAAAUAAAAGUAAAGCUACCAUUUGAUUAAGCAAUUCUACUACUGUGUAUCUACAUGAAGAAAAAGAAAUUAUAUGUGUAAGACACUUGCACACACAUGUUUAUAGCAGC
This 962-nucleotide long non-coding RNA is filed under the name Homo sapiens (human). Its description in RNAcentral is "HSALNT0396827". Lineage: Eukaryota; Metazoa; Chordata; Mammalia; Primates; Hominidae. The record is from RNAcentral.